UUUACAAAAGCGUUAAAUUGUUUAAUUACAUGUUCUAUCCAUAACAAUCGUCGCGCGUAGUAAAAGUAGGAAUAUAACGAGUACGAGUGUUAAAGCAACGGGAAUGUCGGAACUUAUUAUUUGUCGCGAAAGUUUACGAUUAACGGCGUUGAUCUGGUGAUCGAAUAGUACAUUUAACGAGGUUACAAUCGCAGUGAGUAAACAGAUUUUGAUGUCAUAAAUACGCAAAAUAAUGCAUUUGCUUAAAACAAUCAAAGUGCAAUUUUUGAAGUGUUUUUGAAGUGUACUUUUUUGAAGUGUACUUUUUAUUAGAUAUAACACGUUAAACGUUAAAACUUUAGCAUGAAGGUAUUGAAUCAAAUAGAACAUAUUUGUCAUUGUGCAUGUAUCCGUAUCUAAUAAUUCCGCGAAACCGCCAAGCGGCAUCAUCCAUUUCACUCGUUCAAAGAAUAUGCAUAUAAUAUCGAAUCAAUCGCGUGUUAUAAUAAAUAGUUAUAUAACUAUAUAAACGCGUUACAGCACAAAGUGUGCUUCGUUUAUCGCGACGCGACAAAUUCGCGACGUGAAUCCAUGAUUUUCGCAUAAAUGCGUGGACAGAAUGCCAUCCAUUAGUGUGUAUAUAUGUGUAUAAUUAAUUGUAAGUGCGGUAUUCAUCGAUUCGUUGGAGCUGAUGUGGAGCAGUCUGAAGCGGAUCUGCAGCGGUAGACAGACUACAAUAUCCUAGCUGGUAGAGCCGACGGCAUACUCAGCUACGAUACAACGAUGAACAUUUCGCCGGACGGACGUAUGGAUCGCAGAGCGCGAUAGGUCUCGCCCAGUAAUAACAG
This is a long non-coding RNA of Linepithema humile (Argentine ant), 827 nucleotides long. RefSeq lists it as uncharacterized. The record is from RefSeq and is a predicted model, not a curated record. NCBI's taxonomy places the organism in Eukaryota, Metazoa, Arthropoda, Insecta, Hymenoptera, Formicidae.